UACAGAGGUCCCGAGCGUUGUUCGGAUUCAUUGGGCGUAAAGGGUGCGUAGGUGGCGCCGUAAGUGGGGUGUGAAAUCCCGGGGCUUAACCCCGGGACUGCAUUCCAUACUGCGGUGCUUGAGGACUGGAGAGGAGACUGGAAUUUACGGUGUAGCAGUGAAAUGCGUAGAGAUCGGGAAGAACAUCAGUGGCGAAGGCGGCCUGCUGGGCUGUUGCUGACGCUGAGGCGCGACAGCGUGGGGAGCAAACAGG
Molecule: ribosomal RNA, 253 nt
Filed under: uncultured bacterium
Lineage: Bacteria
Description: partial 16S ribosomal RNA
Rfam family: Bacterial small subunit ribosomal RNA
Source: RNAcentral